Molecule: small RNA, 27 nt
Filed under: Bombyx mori (domestic silkworm)
Lineage: Eukaryota; Metazoa; Arthropoda; Insecta; Lepidoptera; Bombycidae
Description: piRNA piR-bmo-1689928
Source: RNAcentral
UGCGGGCGGAAUGUCAUCGAUGCAUCC